CCCUCAAAUUUGGCUUGUGGCACUCACUCACCGAAUUGUGGAUGGCACUCAAUUUCUUUUGCUCUCCUUCCUCUCUACUCACUGGAACAAUUUCAAAUUUCUUUUGUAAAUGUUCAGCCAUGAUUUGUUGGGGUGUCAUAGGCUUGAGAACAAACUUCUUCCCCGUUAGAUUGAUAGUAAACUGAUUUGUUCUCCCACAAUGUUGGCUAUAUCGAUCAUAUUGCCAUGGCCUUCCAAGCAGCAAGUGACACACCGACAUGGGGGCCACAUCACACUCUACUGUGUCAACAUAUUCACCAAUCUUGAAUGGAAUGUUUACUUUAUAUCCAAUCUUGAUAUCUCCCGAAUCAUUCAACCACUGUACUGAUAUGGAUGUGGGUGUCGUAGCAGCUU
This 393-nucleotide long non-coding RNA is filed under the name Sorghum bicolor (sorghum). Its description in RNAcentral is "long non-coding RNA (SBIC_LNC014500)". Lineage: Eukaryota; Viridiplantae; Streptophyta; Magnoliopsida; Poales; Poaceae. The record is from RNAcentral.